GAAAAAUCCGGAAUAACGCAUGUCAAAAAAGUUAUAAAUUGAUAUAUAUAUAUAUAUAUAUAUAUAUCAAUUUAUACCUUUUUUGACAUGUGUUUUUCCGGAGUUCCCG
Pelobates cultripes (western spadefoot toad) is the source of this 109-nucleotide non-coding RNA. Lineage: Eukaryota; Metazoa; Chordata; Amphibia; Anura; Pelobatidae. The record is from the annotation of a GenBank genome assembly.